CAGUCGCCACGGUAACACGUAGGGUGCAAGCGUUAAUCGGAAUUACUGGGCGUAAAGCGUGCGCAGGCGGUUAUAUAAGACAGAUGUGAAAUCCCCGGGCUCAACCUGGGAACUGCAUUUGUGACUGUAUAGCUAGAGUACGGCAGAGGGGGAUGGAAUUCCGCGUGUAGCAGUGAAAUGCGUAGAUAUGCGGAGGAACACCGAUGGCGAAGGCAAUCCCCUGGGCCUGUACUGACGCUCAUGCACGAAAGCGUGGGGAGCAAACAGGAUUAGAGACCCCCGUAGUCCCUGUCUCUUAUAC
This 301-nucleotide ribosomal RNA is filed under the name uncultured bacterium. Its description in RNAcentral is "partial 16S ribosomal RNA". It matches the Rfam family "Bacterial small subunit ribosomal RNA", at positions 509 to 807 of the family's 1533-position model. The record is from RNAcentral.